GACGGAAGGUGCAAGCGUUGCUCGGAAUCACUGGGCGUAAAGGGUGCGUAGGCGGCUUGGUGGGUCUGGUGUGAAAGCCCCGGGCUCAGCCCGGGAAGGGCACUAGAAACUGCCGAGCUGGAGUGCCGGAGGGGAGAGUGGAAUUCCUGGUGUAGCGGUGAAAUGCGUAGAGAUCAUGAGGAAGACCAGUGGCGAAGGCGGGUCUCUGGACAGUUCCUGACACUGAGACACGAAGGCCAGGGGAGCAAACGGG
Molecule: ribosomal RNA, 253 nt
Filed under: uncultured bacterium
Lineage: Bacteria
Description: partial 16S ribosomal RNA
Rfam family: Bacterial small subunit ribosomal RNA
Source: RNAcentral